UACCAGCUCUCCGAGUGGUAGGGAUGAUUAUUGGGCUUAAAGCGUCCGUAGCCGGCUUAGCAAGUCUCCUGUUAAAUUCAGCGACCUAAUCGUUGAGCCGCGGGAGAUACUACUAGGCUAGGAGGCGGGAGAGGUCGACGGUACUUCUGGGGUAGGGGUGAAAUCCUAUAAUCCCGGGAGGACCACCAGUGGCGAAGGCUGUCGACUAGAACGCGCUCGACGGUGAGGGACGAAAGCUGGGGGAGCGAACCGGAUUAGAUACCCGUGUAGUCCCAGCUGUAAACGAUGCGGGCUAGGUGUUGGGGUGGCUACGUGCCACUUCAGUGCCGCAGGGAAGCCAUUAAGCCCGCCGCCUGGGGAGUACGGCCGCAAGGCUGAAACUUAAGGAAUUGGCGGGGAGCACCACAAGGCGUGAGGCUUGCGGUUC
RNAcentral lists this ribosomal RNA (427 nucleotides) under uncultured archaeon. Its description in RNAcentral is "bacterial SSU rRNA". It matches the Rfam family "Archaeal small subunit ribosomal RNA", at positions 474 to 903 of the family's 1478-position model. The record is from RNAcentral.